UAUUGACCCCAAUGCCAUUACUUAUGGUUAUUAUAAUAAGGCUGUUUUGGAAAGUACCUGGCCUUCAAGAAGUCGUAGUGGCUAUUUUCUUUGGACAAAAGUAAGAAAUGUUGUUUUAGGAGUAACACAGUUCAAAAGAGCUUUAAAGAAGCAUGCACACUUAUCACAAACAACUCUCUCAGGUGGCCAGUCUGAUCUUGGAUAUAAUUCAUUAUCUAAAGAUGAAGUUAGAAGAGGGGAUACAUCUACUGAAGACAUUCAAGAAGAAAAAGAUAAAAAAGGGAGUGAUUGUAGUUCCUUGUCAGAGAGUGAGAGUACAAAAGGAAGUGCUGAUUGCCUUCCUAAGCUCAGUUAUCAAAAUUCUUCCAGUAUCGUUCGCCUCACUGGUACAAGUAACAACAGUGCUGGUAAAAUAUCAGGAGAAAGCAUGGGUAAGUUGAAUAGUACGCUUGUGUUAUGUGCGGAAUAAAUUGUAUCUGUA
RNAcentral lists this long non-coding RNA (481 nucleotides) under Homo sapiens (human). RNAcentral describes it as "non-protein coding lnc-INTS14-4:1". The record is from RNAcentral. Lineage: Eukaryota; Metazoa; Chordata; Mammalia; Primates; Hominidae.